Molecule: small RNA, 1636 nt
Filed under: Pan troglodytes (chimpanzee)
Lineage: Eukaryota; Metazoa; Chordata; Mammalia; Primates; Hominidae
Description: processed transcript
Source: RNAcentral
GGUGGCGAAGGCGGCUUUAGUGGCAGCAUGAAGCGCACCCCGACUGCCGAGGAACGAGAGCGCGAAGCUAAGAAACUGAGGCUUCUUGAAGAGCUCGAAGACACUUGGCUUCCUUAUCUGACCCCCAAAGAUGAUGAAUUCUAUCAGCAGUGGCAGCUGAAAUAUCCUAAACUAAUUCUCCGAGAAGCCAGCAGUGUAUCUGAGGAGCUCCAUAAAGAGGUUCAAGAAGCCUUUCUCACACUGCACAAGCAUGGCUGCUUAUUUCGGGACCUGGUUAGGAUCCAAGGCAAAGAUCUGCUCACUCCGGUAUCUCGCAUCCUCAUUGGUAAUCCAGGCUGCACCUACAAGUACCUGAACACCAGGCUCUUUACGGUCCCCUGGCCAGUGAAAGGGUCUAAUAUAAAACACACCGAGGCUGAAAUAGCCGCUGCUUGUGAGACCUUCCUCAAGCUCAAUGACUACCUGCAGAUAGAAACCAUCCAGGCUUUGGAAGAACUUGCUGCCAAAGAGAAGGCUAAUGAGGAUGCUGUGCCACUGUGUAUGUCUGCAGAUUUCCCCAGGGUUGGGAUGGGGUCAUCCUACAACGGACAAGAUGAAGUGGACAUUAAGAGCAGAGCAGCAUACAACGUAACUUUGCUGAAUUUCAUGGAUCCUCAGAAAAUGCCAUACCUGAAAGAGGAACCUUAUUUUGGCAUGGGGAAAAUGGCAGUGAGCUGGCAUCAUGAUGAAAAUCUGGUGGACAGGUCAGCGGUGGCAGUGUACAGUUAUAGCUGUGAAGGCCCUGAAGAGGAAAGUGAGGAUGACUCUCAUCUCGAAGGCAGAGAUCCUGAUAUUUGGCAUGUUGGUUUUAAGAUCUCAUGGGACAUAGAGACACCUGGUUUGGCGAUACCCCUUCACCAAGGAGACUGCUAUUUCAUGCUUGAUGAUCUCAAUGCCACCCACCAACACUGUGUUUUGGCCGGUUCACAACCUCGGUUUAGUUCCACCCACCGAGUGGCAGAGUGCUCAACAGGAACCUUGGAUUAUAUUUUACAACGCUGUCAGUUGGCUCUGCAGAAUGUCUGUGACGAUGUGGACAAUGAUGAUGUCUCUUUGAAAUCCUUUGAGCCUGCAGUUUUGAAGCAAGGAGAAGAAAUUCAUAAUGAGGUCGAGUUUGAGUGGCUGAGGCAGUUUUGGUUUCAAGGCAAUCGAUACAGAAAGUGCACUGACUGGUGGUGUCAACCCAUGGCUCAACUGGAAGCACUGUGGAAGAAGAUGGAGGGUGUGACAAAUGCUGUGCUUCAUGAAGUUAAAGGAGAGGGGCUCCCCAUGGAACAAAGGAAUGAAAUCUUGACUGCCAUCCUUGCCUCGCUCACUGCACGCCAGAACCUGAGGAGAGAAUGGCAUGCCAGAUGGAGUUUCAUUCUCAUUGCCCAGGCUGGAGUGCAAUGGCACAAUCUUGGCUCACUGCAACCUCCACCUCCCGGGUUCAAGCGAUUCUCCUGCCUCAGCCUCCCAGAGCAACGACAUAGGGCAGUGGAAAAAGAAUGAGUUUUGGAGUCAAAACCCCUGUUAUCUUGGAAAAGCCAUUUAACUUCCUUGACCUUCAGUUUCAUCUUGUGUAAAGUCAGAAUAAUAAUGCCAGCCUUAUAGAGUA